RNAcentral lists this ribosomal RNA (814 nucleotides) under uncultured archaeon. Its description in RNAcentral is "bacterial SSU rRNA". It matches the Rfam family "Archaeal small subunit ribosomal RNA", at positions 1 to 796 of the family's 1478-position model. The record is from RNAcentral.
UUCCGGUUGAUCCUGCCGGACCCCACUGCUAUCGAGAUGGGACUAAGGUAUGCUAGUCGAACGACCAGAACUAUGUCUGGGAGUGGCACACUGCUCAGUAACACGUAGCUAACCUACCCUUAGGACGUGGAUACCCCCGAGAAAUUGGGGUUAAUCCGCGAUAGAUGUAAUGUCCUGGAAUGGUAUUACGUCUAAAGGUAUUUCAUACAUGUUUGAAAUAUGCCUAAGGAUGGGGCUGCGGCCGAUCAGGCUGUUGGUGAGGUAAUGGCUCACCAAACCUUUGACCGGUACGGGCCAUGAGAGUGGUAGCCCGGAGAUGGACACUGAGACAAGGGUCCAGGCCCUAAGGGGCGCAGCAACCGCGAAACCUCCACAAUGCACUCACGUGCGAUGGGGCUAUCUCGAGUGCCACCUGAUGAAGGUGGCUUUUCCUUGGUCUUCAAAGCCUUGGGAAUAAGAGGGGGGCAAGACUGGUGUCAGCCGCCGCGGUAACACCAGCCCCUCGAGUGGUGGGGAUGAUUAUUUGGCCUAAAGCGUCCGUAGCCGGCCGUGAAAGUCUUCCGUUAAAUCCAGCGUCUCAAGCGUUGGACCGCGGGAGAUACUACAUGGCUAGAGAGUGGGAGAGGUCAGCGGUAUUCUGGGGGUAGGGGCGAAAUCCUUUGAUCCCCGGAGGACCACCAGUGGCGAAGGCUGCUGACUAGAACACGUCUGACGGUCAGGGACGAAAGCUGGGGUAGCGAACCGGAUUAGAUACCCGGGUAGUCCCAGCCGUAAACGAUGCAUGCUAGGUGUUGGGUUGGCCACGAGCCACCCC